Molecule: ribosomal RNA, 513 nt
Filed under: uncultured Bacillota bacterium
Lineage: Bacteria; Bacillati; Bacillota
Description: bacterial SSU rRNA
Rfam family: Bacterial small subunit ribosomal RNA
Source: RNAcentral
GCAACGCCGCGUGAGUGAGGAAGGCCUUCGGGUCGUAAAGCUCUGUUGUUAGGGAAGAACAAGUACCGUUCGAACAGGGCGGUACCUUGACGGUACCUAACCAGAAAGCCACGGCUAACUACGUGCCAGCAGCCGCGGUAAUACGUAGGUGGCAAGCGUUGUCCGGAAUUAUUGGGCGUAAAGCGCGCGCAGGCGGUCUCUUAAGUCUGAUGUGAAAGCCCACGGCUCAACCGUGGAGGGUCAUUGGAAACUGGGGGACUUGAGUACUGGAGAGGAGAGUGGAAUUCCAUGUGUAGCGGUGAAAUGCGUAGAUAUAUGGAGGAACACCAGUGGCGAAGGCGGCUCUCUGGCCAGUAACUGACGCUGAGGCGCGAAAGCGUGGGGAGCAAACAGGAUUAGAUACCCUGGUAGUCCACGCCGUAAACGAUGAGUGCUAGGUGUUGGGGGGUUCCACCCUCAGUGCUGACGUUAACACAUUAAGCACUCCGCCUGGGGAGUACGACCGCAAGGUUG